GAUGAACGCUGGCGGCGUGCUUAACACAUGCAAGUCGAACGGGAUCCAAGGGGUGCUUGCACUUUUUGGUGAGAGUGGCGAACGGGUGAGUAACACGUGAGUAACCUGUCCUUUUCUUUGGGAUAAGCAUUCGAAAGGGUGUUUAAUACCUUAUGUUCUGUCUGCCUCGCAUGGGGUGGGUGGGAAAGGCUUUGGCCGGAUUUGGGUGGCCUCGCGGUCUAUCAGCUUGUUGGUGGGGUGAUGGCUUACCAAGGCUUUGACGGGUAGCCGGCCUGAGAGGGUGGUCGGUCACAUUGGGACUGAGAUACGGCCCAGACUCCUGCGGGAGGCAGCAGUGGGGGAUAUUGCACAAUGGGCGAAAGCCUGAUGCAGCGACGCCGCGUGGGGGAUGAAGGCCUUCGGGUUGUAAACUUCUUUUGCUCUGAACAAGGCGCACUUUUGGGUGUGUUGAGUGUAGGGGUUGAUUAGCGCCGGCUAACUACGUG
RNAcentral lists this ribosomal RNA (485 nucleotides) under uncultured bacterium. Its description in RNAcentral is "partial 16S ribosomal RNA". It matches the Rfam family "Bacterial small subunit ribosomal RNA", at positions 28 to 507 of the family's 1533-position model. The record is from RNAcentral.